RNAcentral lists this transfer RNA (75 nucleotides) under Pseudomonadota bacterium. Its description in RNAcentral is "tRNA-Glu". It matches the Rfam family "tRNA". From Rfam's summary of the family: Transfer RNA (tRNA) molecules are approximately 80 nucleotides in length. Their secondary structure includes four short double-helical elements and three loops (D, anti-codon, and T loops). Lineage: Bacteria; Pseudomonadati; Pseudomonadota. The record is from RNAcentral.
GACCCCUUCGUCUAGCGGUCAGGACAUCACCCUCUCACGGUGAGAACACGGGUUCGAGUCCCGUAGGGGUCGCCA